This 250-nucleotide ribosomal RNA is filed under the name uncultured bacterium. RNAcentral's name for it is "partial 16S ribosomal RNA". It matches the Rfam family "Bacterial small subunit ribosomal RNA", at positions 524 to 773 of the family's 1533-position model. The record is from RNAcentral.
UACGGAGGGUCCAAGCGUUAUCCGGAAUCAUUGGGUUUAAAGGGUGCGUAGGCGGGAAAUUAAGUCAGUGGUGAAAUCCCACAGCUCAACUGUGGAAUUGCCAUUGAAACUGAUUUUCUUGAAUCUAUUUGGAGUGGGCGGAAUACAUCAUGUAGCGGUGAAAUGCUUAGAUAUGAUGUAGAACACCGAUCGCGAAGGCAGCUCACUAAACUAGAAUUGACGCUGAGGCACGAAAGCGUGGGGAGCAAAC